Molecule: ribosomal RNA, 253 nt
Filed under: uncultured bacterium
Lineage: Bacteria
Description: partial 16S ribosomal RNA
Rfam family: Bacterial small subunit ribosomal RNA
Source: RNAcentral
UACAGAGGGUGCGAGCGUUAAUCGGAAUUACUGGGCAUAAAGCGUGCGUAGACGGUUAUCUAAGUCGGAUGUGAAAGCCCCGGGCUCAACCUGGGAAUUGCAUUCGAGACUGAAUAGCUAGGGUGCGGUAGAGGGAAGCGGAAUUUCCGGUGUAGCGGUGAAAUGCGUAGAUAUCGGAAGGAACAUCAGUGGCGAAAGCGGCUUCCUGGACCAGCACCGACGUUCAGGCACGAAAGCGUGGGGAGCAAACAGG